AAAUACUAAUCUUUGUACUGCUUGUGUCACAUAAAUUAGGAUUGGGAUGAUUUUAAAAUUUUAAUUUUGGUUAUACAUUAUAAAAUAGCCGAAAAAUUGAAUGAUAUAAUUUUUUUUAAAAAUAACCGAAUGAAUCGUCCUAUCGAUAACCCUAAUGUUACUUCUACUCUGUUUAUUUUUACUUAAAUUUAGAAAGAUAUGCUUCAUUUCUAC
Molecule: long non-coding RNA, 213 nt
Filed under: Solanum tuberosum (potato)
Lineage: Eukaryota; Viridiplantae; Streptophyta; Magnoliopsida; Solanales; Solanaceae
Description: long non-coding RNA (STUB_LNC008970)
Source: RNAcentral